RNAcentral lists this ribosomal RNA (261 nucleotides) under Acinetobacter schindleri. RNAcentral describes it as "partial 16S ribosomal RNA". It matches the Rfam family "Bacterial small subunit ribosomal RNA", at positions 1 to 263 of the family's 1533-position model. The record is from RNAcentral. Lineage: Bacteria; Pseudomonadati; Pseudomonadota; Gammaproteobacteria; Moraxellales; Moraxellaceae.
UAAACUGAAGAGUUUGAUCAUGGCUCAGAUUGAACGCUGGCGGCAGGCUUAACACAUGCAAGUCGAGCGGGGAAAGGUAGCUUGCUACCUGACCUAGCGGCGGACGGGUGAGUAAUGCUUAGGAAUCUGCCUAUUAGUGGGGGACAACGUUCCGAAAGGAACGCUAAUACCGCAUACGUCCUACGGGGGAAAGCAGGGGAUCUUCGGACCUUGCGCUAAUAGAUGAGCCUAAGUCGGAUUAGCUAGUUGGUGGGGUAAAGG